ACAGGCCCUCUCUCAAGGUCACCACCUCCACUCCCGUUGUAUGCUGGGAUUGUAGUCCGGCCGCCCUGUGACUAACGGCUGGAACCGCCUAAGACACCACCCCAGCCAGCAUGGCCGGCAGGAGCGCACCGCGCUGUCUCCCUCCAGGGAUCCGCACCGCCCUACAAUCCUGCUUUGUGCUGAGAUUGUAGUCCUGCAGGCGUACAACUAACAAGCUGGGUGCAGAUAAGAGACUACAGCUCCCCGCAUCCCAAGCAAAGGUCCCUCCUCUACGGAGCCCCUCCACGCGUCCACUGCGGUUCCGCCGUGCCAAGGGGAGCUUGGCUGUUCACGGGCCUCACCUGCUAGCGAGAAGAUAGCUUGGCCGGGCGGCUGAUCUCACCUUGUAAUUCUGACACUGUGUCUCCCGGGCUUGUCGGCUUCAUGACUUGUGCCCAAAGUUUGAUUUCUCGCAGACCAGGAGGACCCAUUGGACCCCCGGGCUGGCUGCAGGGCCCACACCUGGGUUAGACCUCGCACAGGGACGCUGCUGCCACUGUAAUAAAGCGUGCCUACACGCUUCUGAAACUGGUGUAGGAACAACCUCAGUUCUGUGAAAGGCGGACGCAGCAGGACAGAAUCUCCGUGGACAUCUGUCUGGAGGAGCAAUUUUACUGCGACAUUUUAAAGAAACAAAUUUAAUUGAUUUCCAAGGUAAGAAAUUAAACCUUGAAAACUAAACUGAAAAGUCAUCUGUGUUUGACAAGUCAGACUUUCUCCAAGAAGAAAACUAAGGAGUGCAUAUUUUCCAUUAUUAUAAAUAGUGAAAAUGAGAAAUCAUAGCAACUCCCUGGAAAAUCUUGCUCUGCCAGUUUUCUAAAUCACAGUAGGGCCUCGAUAUGGUUUUAUUUGUUUUUGUUUUUGUUUUGGAGUGUGUUCACCUUUUGAAUAUAAGAAUUUGCGGUUUUGACCAAGUUUUUAAAUUUUCAGCUAUUGUUUAUUUGUUUUUGUAUUAUAUUUAAUUUUUCUGUCUCUCCCUCUCUGUCUCAGACUCAAUCAUUUCACAGGUCUCUUAGGCCUCUUUUCAUUUUCUUUAAACUUGUUUCAGUCUUCAGAUUGGAUGGUUUAUAUUGCUGUCUUCUGUUUCUACUCUGUAAACUAAAAGUUCUUUUUAUUUUAUUAUUUUAUUGUCUUCUAUUUUACUCUUUUUAUAAUUUCCAUGUCUCUGCUGAGACUCUACAUGAGUUAAUUCAUUAUGAGAAUAUUUUCCUUUACCCCCAUGAACGUACUUAUAAUAGCUGCCCUGAAAUACUUGUCUGCUGAUUACAUCAUCUCGGACAUCUUAGAAAUAGCUUCUGCUGCCUGCUUUUUAUCUUGUGUAUAGUUUGCAUGUUACAUUUCUUCACACAUUUUAUGAAUUUUAAUAUUGUGUAAUAGAAAUUAUAAAUAUUAGUUAUAGAGACUAAAUUCUGUUGUAUUCUUUGGAAGAGCAUUGUUAUUAUUUGAAGAGGGGGUAAAUGUGGCUGAAUUCAAACAGAAUAAUUAUCUUCCCUACGGUGGGAAAGGUUGAAAUUCUCAUUCAGUCACACACACGUAUGUAUGUAUUGUAUAUAGAUGAAUGUUUCUAUGUAACUAUAUAUAAUAUUUUAUCCAGAUUG
Homo sapiens (human) is the source of this 1637-nucleotide long non-coding RNA. Ensembl annotates it as long intergenic non-protein coding RNA 662. NCBI's taxonomy places the organism in Eukaryota, Metazoa, Chordata, Mammalia, Primates, Hominidae. The record is from Ensembl.